RNAcentral lists this ribosomal RNA (256 nucleotides) under uncultured bacterium. RNAcentral's name for it is "partial 16S ribosomal RNA". It matches the Rfam family "Bacterial small subunit ribosomal RNA", at positions 524 to 778 of the family's 1533-position model. The record is from RNAcentral.
GACAGAGGGUGCAAACGUUGUUCGGAAUUACUGGGCGUAAAGCGUGCGCAGGCGGUUAUGUAAGACAGGUGUGAAAUCCCCGGGCUUAACCUGGGAACUGCAUUUGUGACUGCAUAGCUAGAGUACGGUAGAGGGGGAUGGAAUUCCGCGUGUAGGCAGUGAAAUGCGUAGAUAUCUGGAGGAACACCGGUGGCGAAGGCGGCAUCCUGGACCGGCAUUGACGCUGAGGCGCGAAAGCCAGGGGAGCAAAGCGGGG